RNAcentral lists this long non-coding RNA (1887 nucleotides) under Nicotiana tabacum (common tobacco). Its description in RNAcentral is "long non-coding RNA (NTAB_LNC016992)". The record is from RNAcentral. Lineage: Eukaryota; Viridiplantae; Streptophyta; Magnoliopsida; Solanales; Solanaceae.
AAUUAUAGAACUGUACUCAUGCUCGACUUUGUAAUGUUAGGAUGUCCAACAGUGUAUAGCGUCUCAUGCAUUUACUUCUUCAGCACUUUUGGUUGCUGCUCGUGGUCCUUUUUCUUAAUUAAGUAGAACUAUAGUAGAAAUUGCUUUCUAGUUUCCACAGACUAAGGUUUGUACAUCACGAUGAUGGAAGGUAUCGAGUUGAAAAAAUGGGUUGUUGCAGGUCGGAAGAAAUUUAGAGGUUCCCUUACUUUUAGGUAUAUCUGGACUCUUGAGGGAGGUGCAGGAUGGGGCUACAAAGUAAAGUUAUUUAUAGACAUUACUAAGAGAUGGAUGAAAGGCAUUCAUGAAGAAAAUGAACUAAAUGGAAGUGUAGUGAACGUGAAAUAAGUUGAAAAGUAAAGUGUAACUUUUUCCAAGAAUAUCAUACGGAUUUUUUUUUUCCUAUUCUAGGUAUGUUAAGGUUAUUCCUUCUUUUUUUUGGAAUGAUCCAUGUAACGAUAUAUAAACGUAAUGUUCUUCCAUAAGUGUUUCUACUCUUAGCAGUUAAGGAUGCCUAUUAUUCAUUCCAGUAAAAGGGAUAUUCAAGCAUGUCUAAGUAUGUAUCUAGUAUUUAUUGAGGUAUAUGAUAGAGAUGUUAAUAUUUAUAAUAUAGUGAUUUAUAUAUAAAUUAAUUAAAUCUCAGAUUCUCAAUGUUAUAGACUUAUAGCUAAAUUUGAAGUUGGUCUACAAAUUUCUGAAUUUUAAGUAAAGUGAGUUGAACAUCAAUAUUGGCUUUGUAAUUUAAACUACUAUGAUCUUAAUUUAUGUACUCCUUGCCCCAAUUAUAUGUCACUCUCUCCAUUUUCGGAUGUCCAAAAUUGUUUUAAUUUCUAUACAGCUUGAACUUUGAGGUAAUAAUUCUACAUCAACUAGUUUUUCAAACGUUGCUUCAAUACUUUCUUCAAGUAUCACGAAUAUGACAUAUUGGUCAAAUCGAUUACUAAUUGUACUUUAUGUCUAGUCGUGUACUAUUAUCUAAAAUGAAAUGGAGUGAGUUGUUUCGAAUUCACAUAACAAGCAAGCAAAAAGAGUAGACGAAGGAAAAAAAAUUACAAGAAUCUCAAAAGCAAAGAUUAAACUUUCUUUUGGGUCAAACUAGGAUUCCAUUUAUGAUGCAUAUUCAUUUACCACCGAGCUACGGCCGGUCGGGCAGUCAUGCAUUUACCAUCGAGCUACGGCCGGUUGGGCAGUUAUAUAUUUACCACCGUGCUACGGCCGGUCGGGCAGUUACCACCGGUUGGGCAGCUAUGUAUCAUUAUUUACCACCGGUUGGGCAGUCAUGCAUUUACCACCUGUUGGGUAGUUAUGUAUCAUUAUUUACCACCGGUUGGGCAGACAUGUAUUUACCACCAUGCGAUGGCCGGUCGGUCAGUUACCACUGAUCAGUUGGGCAGUCAUGCAUCAUACGAUAUGGAUAAUAGUCUCAAAGAGAAGCAUUAUAUAUAUGUAAGUAUAAUAAGUAUGAAAAUAUGGUGGUACUUCAGAGAUUCAGGUUGAUUCUUAUAUGUCUUUACUUCAUGUUGAAUUAUGGUUAUGUUUUAGUUCUGCCUUACAUACUCAGUACAUUAUUCGUACUGACGUCCUUUUGUUGGGGACGCUACAUUCAUGCCUGCAGGUAUAGGUAAUCAGUUUGACGAGCUCUCAUAGUAGAUGAGGUUGGCAUUCAGCGAAGGAUCGGUAAGACUCCACCUCAUUUGGAGUGCAGCCGAGUCUAUGAGUCAUCAUGUCAGAGUUUUACUACAUGCUUAUGGGUAGGCUGAUACCCUGUCCCAUUUGAUGUCAAAUAAUCAUAGAGGCUUUGUAGACAGACGUUCAUUUUGUAUAGUAUGUCAGAGGCCUUGACGGCCC